Molecule: ribosomal RNA, 442 nt
Filed under: uncultured bacterium
Lineage: Bacteria
Description: partial 16S ribosomal RNA
Rfam family: Bacterial small subunit ribosomal RNA
Source: RNAcentral
CCUACGGGUGGCAGCAGUAGGGAAUCUUUCACAAUGGGCGAAAGCCUGAUGGAGCAACGCCGCGUGCAGGAAGAAGGCUCUCGGGUUGUAAACCUCUUUUUAUAGGGAAGUGCAGAAGAGGGUACCUGCCGAUUAAGCCACGGCUAACUACGGGCCAGCAGCCGCGGUAAUACGUAGGUUGCAAGCGUUAGCCGGAUUUACUGGGUGUAAAGGGCGUGUAGCGGGGCUGACAAGUCAGAUGUGAAAUCUGGGGGCUCAACCCCCGAACUGCAUUUGAUACUGUUGGUCUUGAGUAUCGGUGAGGCAGGCGGAAUUCCUGGUGUAGCGGUGAAAUGCGUAGAUAUUAGGAAGAACACCAGUGGCGAAGGCGGCCUGCUGGACGGCAACUGACGGUGAGGCGCGAAAGCGUGGGGAGCAAACAGGAUUAGAUACCCGAGUAGUC